UUUUAUCAAAUCGACGACGUAUCAAAAUAAUAAACCAGCCGCGGUCUGUUCGGCUCCCGGUGAAAAACCCGGGAAAAGAUGGUGGAAUAAUUUCCUGUGCUCCAAAUUAGAACUUUCAAUCUUCGAAACCCUAAAACAAAUUCACAAAUUCAACUAAAAUUGAAACCAUGAACGCUGACAUUCCAAAUCCAAGUUAUUCAACAGAGAAACAAUGGGGAGAGAAAGUAUCAGAGAAAGUGAUGUCAGCAUACAAAUCUCUCCCUAAAAAAGGAAAGCCUCAAGGUUGCGAAGUCACCGUCUUAGCUUCAUUUCUCCUUUCCUCUCCUUCUCAAGAAUUGGAAGUUGUUGCGUUGGGGACCGGUACGAAAUGCAUUGGACGCUCACUUCUGAGCAACCGCGGUGAUAUUGUCAAUGAUUCACAUGCUGAGAUUAUUGCUAGAAGAGCUUUAAUUAGGUUUUUCUAUGCGGAGAUUCUACACAUUAUUCGCGGUUCAUCUGAGGAUGGAUGUAAUAAUGGAAGCAAAGAAGUGAAAAUUAAUGAUGGCAGUAACUGGAUUUUUGAACUGGAACAGCGUGGCUGUAGUGAAGAGAAGUUUAAGUUGAGAGAGGGUUGGCAAUUGCAUCUGUACAUUUCACAAUUGCCAUGCGGGGAUGCUUCUGUAAGUUCACUGUUGUCUCCUGCGAGAAAUGUUUUCACAAGAGAAGGGGAUCUGCCACCAUCCCUAUUUGAGAAUGGUUCGACAAGUGACCUUUCGGAGGUUACAAAAGAGAAUAAUGCAGGUAGACUUUCCACUAAUGGCUCACAAAUCAGUGGCAUGGUUCAGAGGAAGCCUGGUCGUGGUGAUACAACAUUGUCAGUUAGCUGCUCUGACAAAAUAGCUCGGUGGAAUGUUGUUGGAGUUCAAGGAGCUUUGCUUUCCUACUUUCUUCAACCUGUUUACCUUUCUUCGGUAACCGUUGGGCAAUCCUCUAAUAGUCCGAAAAACUUUUGUCUUGAAGAUCACUUGAAAAGAGCCUUGUAUGAUCGAAUCCUGCCAUUGUCGAAUGAACUAGUUUCUCCUUUCCAUCUAAACAAGCCACUUUUUUAUGCAGCUCCUGAGCCACCCAUGGAAUUUAAGCAUGCUGACACUGCUCUAGUAACUUUGACAUGCGGGUAUUCCGUAUGUUGGAGCAAGUCUGGCAUGCAUGAAGUCGUCCUUGGGACCACUGGAAGAAAGCAAGGCACUUCUGCUAAGGGGGCACUUUCUCCAGCAACCAUGUCCUCUCUAUGCAAAAAGCGGUUAUUGGAGGUUUUCUUGACAUUAAAGCAGGAGUUCCAGAGCAAAUGCCCAGCCAAAGAUAUUUCUUAUCGAGAACUCAAGGUUCUGCAUUAUUUCCUGAGAUUCUUAUUCCUGUUGGUUUUCUUUCUAAAUAAUAGUUUGAUGAUGUCUUGCUUGAAUGGGAUAAACUUUUCAUUGAAACGCUAUAAGCUGUGUUGAUAAAUUGUAAAUGUCCAUGUUGUUUGUGGAUUUCACAUUUUUCACUGGCUCUUGUCUCUUCCAUUAGUUUGCAAAUUCAGGCAGCAUAAACCAAUCUUCUCUUAUAAUAAUAAAUGUACGUCAACAUUAUGUGCAGAAUUUAAGUUCUUGGUUUAUCUGAAGAUCAACAUUAUGGUUCUUGUUGCUAGUACAGUAAGAUUGACCUCCAGUAUGAUCAUAUGCUAAUUCCCAAGCUUCAUUUUCGUAGCCAUAUUAAGUCUGCAAUGUAUACAUGUAUGACUAUUGAAUCUCAUCUUACUACUUUAGUAAAUUCUCUUGCAGAACAAUGCUCAAGCGUACAGUUCAACUUCAAAAUCUUUUAAAGAAAGUGCGGCAUUUAACAAUUGGCCAUUGAAACCCUUGGACUCUGAGGCCUUCUCCAUUUUGAGGGAGUGAGGCCUCCCAGGAACUUGAUAUAGUAUCAAGUGUUGCUGAUGAGGAUCUGUGUCUAUCAUCCACAUUUUUGGCAGACCAUUCACAAAGGGGGAGCACAUCUUUUGCUGGAACCGUGAUGGAUGCUUUUGCACCAUUUGCUGCUUCAUGACAUUCUCACGGCACAUCGUAUGAACUCCUGAACUGUUCUAACAUCCUCCAGAGCUGCUGUGAUGAGAGCUCACAAUUUCUUCGUGGCAGAGCCACAUAACUAGUGAGUGCUGCAAUAACAUGUUAAAACACACUGCCAUAACAUUUUAGGUGAACCUCUCUAUAAUGCCCACGUACAUGUGAUUUGACGUUGAUUUUGUACUCUUUAAGUAUCUGAAUUGCGGGCACUUGAAAAUUCCAAA
Populus nigra (black poplar) is the source of this 2302-nucleotide RNA transcript. It is a transcript of the gene named tRNA-specific adenosine deaminase TAD1, with no coding region annotated. The record is from RefSeq and is a predicted model, not a curated record. The transcript has 10 exons. Lineage: Eukaryota; Viridiplantae; Streptophyta; Magnoliopsida; Malpighiales; Salicaceae.